AGAGUGGCUGUAUAUUCAGGUCAGAACAACUGUGGUUAGUCAAGGAAGUUUCUUACUGCCUUCCCUGGGAGAGGCUGGAGAAGUGAGAGACGACGCUACUGUGGGAGUUUACACGUAGGUCCAUAUCCAUCAGAAGACGAGAACCACAGAAACAGCAGAUAAUAUGUAUAUAUUAGAGAAUUUUGARCAUGUCAGAGUAUGCAAAAGCUAUACUUUUCUAGUCACUAAGAAGAAGGUAUGGCUCAUUAAUUGUAAAUAAUAUAUGAUGGAUCAACGUCUUCAUAACAACUUUGAACUUCACUGAGAGGAGUACAGCUCAAGCACUUCUGCCAGAAAUAUGCAGUUCUUCCAGAAGUCCACACUGGAAUUGAGUGUCAUUUCAGGGAAGAAG
This is a long non-coding RNA of Nothoprocta perdicaria, 391 nucleotides long. RefSeq lists it as uncharacterized. NCBI's taxonomy places the organism in Eukaryota, Metazoa, Chordata, Aves, Tinamiformes, Tinamidae. The record is from RefSeq and is a predicted model, not a curated record. The transcript is spliced from 4 exons.